This 71-nucleotide transfer RNA is filed under the name Birmella discoidalisa. Its description in RNAcentral is "tRNA-Asn". Lineage: Eukaryota; Metazoa; Arthropoda; Insecta; Hymenoptera; Tenthredinidae. The record is from RNAcentral.
UUAAUUGAAGCCAAAAUGUAGGCAUAUUAUUGUUAAUAAUAUAUUUGAAAAAAAAUAAUUUUCCAAUUAAA